This 768-nucleotide ribosomal RNA is filed under the name Sarcocystis sp. 1 GM-2017. RNAcentral describes it as "SSU rRNA". It matches the Rfam family "Eukaryotic small subunit ribosomal RNA", at positions 284 to 1052 of the family's 1831-position model. Lineage: Eukaryota; Apicomplexa; Conoidasida; Eucoccidiorida; Sarcocystidae. The record is from RNAcentral.
UCGGCGAUGGAUCAUUCAAGUUUCUGACCUAUCAGCUUUCGACGGUACUGUAUUGGACUACCGUGGCAGUGACGGGUAACGGGGAAUUAGGGUUCGAUUCCGGAGAGGGAGCCUGAGAAACGGCUACCACAUCUAAGGAAGGCAGCAGGCGCGCAAAUUACCCAAUCCUGACUCAGGGAGGUAGUGACAAGAAAUAACAACACUGGAAAUUCUUUUUCUAGUGAUUGGAAUGAUGGGAAUCCAAACCCCUUUCAGAGUAACAAUUGGAGGGCAAGUCUGGUGCCAGCAGCCGCGGUAAUUCCAGCUCCAAUAGCGUAUAUUAAAGUUGUUGCAGUUAAAAAGCUCGUAGUUGGAUAUCUGCUGGAAGCAGCCAGUCCGCCCUUUGUGGGUGUGCACUUGGUGAAUUCUGGCAUCCUCCUGAUUGGUGUCAUCAUCACUUCAUUGUGUUGGUGGCAGCUGUCAGGACCGUUACUUUGAGAAAAUUAGAGUGUUUCAAGCAGGCUUGUUGCCUUGAAUACUGCAGCAUGGAAUAACAAGAUAGGAUUUCGGUUCUAUUUUGUUGGUUUCUAGGACUGAAGUAAUGAUUAAUAGGGACAGUUGGGGGCAUUCGUAUUUAACUGUCAGAGGUGAAAUUCUUAGAUUUGUUAAAGACGAACUACUGCGAAAGCAUUUGCCAAAGAUGUUUUCAUUAAUCAAGAACGAAAGUUAGGGGCUCGAAGACGAUCAGAUACCGUCGUAGUCUUAACCAUAAACUAUGCCGACUAGAGA